This 274-nucleotide ribosomal RNA is filed under the name uncultured bacterium. RNAcentral's name for it is "partial 16S ribosomal RNA". It matches the Rfam family "Bacterial small subunit ribosomal RNA", at positions 523 to 796 of the family's 1533-position model. The record is from RNAcentral.
AUACGGAGGGUGCAAGCGUUAAUCGGAAUUACUGGGCGUAAAGCGUACGUAGGCGGUUAGUUAAGUUAGAUGUGAAAGCCCCGGGCUUAACCUGGGAACUGCAUUUAAAACUGGCGAACUAGAGUUGAGUAGAGGGGAGUGGAAUUUCAGGUGUAGCGGUGAAAUGCGUAGAGAUCUGAAGGAACACCAGUGGCGAAGGCGGCUCCCUGGACUCAAACUGACGCUGAGGUACGAAAGCGUGGGUAGCAAACGGGAUUAGAAACCCCAGUAGUCC